CCUACGGGGGGCUGCAGUGAGGAAUAUUGGUCAAUGGACGAGAGUCUGAACCAGCCAAGUAGCGUGAAGGAUGACUGCCCUAUGGGUUGUAAACUUCUUUUAUAUGGGAAUAAAAUGUUCCACGUGUGGGAUUUUGUAUGUACCUUAUGAAUAAGGAUCGGCUAACUCCGUGCCAGCAGCCGCGGUAAUACGGAGGAUCCGAGCGUUAUCCGGAUUUAUUGGGUUUAAAGGGAGCGUAGGUGGAUUGUUAAGUCAGUUGUGAAAGUUUGCGGCUCAACCGUAAAAUUGCAGUUGAAACUGGCAGUCUUGAGUACAGUAGAGGUGGGCGGAAUUCGUGGUGUAGCGGUGAAAUGCUUAGAUAUCACGAAGAACUCCGAUUGCGAAGGCAGUUCACUAGACUGCAACUGACACUGAGGCUCGAAAGUGUGGGUAUCAAACAGGAUUAGAUACCCCUGUAGUC
This 460-nucleotide ribosomal RNA is filed under the name uncultured bacterium. RNAcentral's name for it is "partial 16S ribosomal RNA". It matches the Rfam family "Bacterial small subunit ribosomal RNA", at positions 338 to 795 of the family's 1533-position model. The record is from RNAcentral.